CAAUAUACAGCCUUGACAUACUCCUUUUCCUAUUUGGAACCAGUCUGUUGUUCCAUGUCCAGUUCUAACUGUUGCUUCAUAGUUGGGACCAAUUGCUCGUCUUUUCUGCUUAGUCCCCAAGAAGAAAAGACAAUAUUUCUGGAGGUAGAUCGGGAAUAAAUAACCUCUCCUCGGGUGGAUGAGCAGAAGGCCCAGGGGGCAGGUUCAAAGGCUCUCUUAGUCACCCUUGAGAGCCUGUUAAAUUUUGUUCAGUCAUGUGCGAGUGUUGUCAGCAGCUUCCUAGCCUGACUUCUCCCUUCUUGUGACUCAGGUUCUUGAAACUCCGGUUCCUCAGCCUUUUUUUUUUUUUUCAUCAGGAAAUUUAAACCCAACCGUCCCCAGAUCAAGACUGGAACAGCUCCUCCAAUGCUGGGCACUUCUCACCUGCUAACAAGACAGAGGAGCGACCUGGAAAGGUCCAGCCACCUCCUCUCCCAUCCUCUGGCCCCCUUUCUACCACCCGCCUCACACAUGAAAUAGUUUCUCAUCCUCAUCUGUUGGCAGAAACUCCAACUUUAGCACUCCACUUUUUAAAAAUAGAUCACUGUUAAAAUUCCCCCAGAAGGAAUAACCUUAAAAUUAUUAUUAGGCACCGACACGUUGGGGAAAAGAAAGGAAUUCAGCGAUUUUGAAAGAGGAUGUGCUGGAGACGGUUGGGGGUUGGGGAGAUACCUAACUAACAUUUCUUGAGAAGCCGCCUGAUGUCAGAAGCUUCAUGAAUGUGGACAAGGAUUAUCCUCAGCCCCGAAAGGCAACUGGUGUUCUCUUCCAUGUUAAGUGAGACACGUGAAGAAGCCCAGAGAGGCUGAGUCACGCUUAAAAUCACACAGCAGGUUGGACCUGGAGUCUGGACUGGAACCCUGGAGCUAGGAAGGGAGAGACAGCAACCCACACACCGUCUGGCUUUAGCUUCAGAUCACAGAAACGUCACAAACCAUGGUAGUAUCUGCAACUUUGUCCCCGGUGCUCUCCAAGGACCCAGGAACGGGUGGGUCGCACGUGGUUCCUGCCCUCCCAGAGCUGCCCUGAGAGCCCAGGGAGUCCCAGGUAAGGGCGUGAUCUCAGCUGUGAGCAUGCAAGAAGGGCCACUGAGAACCGGUGGGGACCGGAGUCAGGGAGGCG
RNAcentral lists this long non-coding RNA (1161 nucleotides) under Bos indicus x Bos taurus (hybrid cattle). RNAcentral describes it as "lncRNA (ENSBIXG00005008404.1)". Lineage: Eukaryota; Metazoa; Chordata; Mammalia; Artiodactyla; Bovidae. The record is from RNAcentral.